UCUGAUGUGAAAGCCCACGGCUCAACCGUGGAGGGUCAUUGGAAACUGGGGGACUUGAGUGCAGAAGAGGAGAGCGGAAUUCCACGUGUAGCGGUGAAAUGCGUAGAGAUGUGGAGGAACACCAGUGGCGAAGGCGGCUCUCUGGUCUGUAACUGACGCUGAGGCGCGAAAGCGUGGGGAGCGAACAGGAUUAGAUACCCUGGUAGUCCACGCCGUAAACGAUGAGUGCUAAGUGUUAGAGGGUUUCCGCCCUUUAGUGCUGCAGCAAACGCAUUAAGCACUCCGCCUGGGGAGUACGGUCGCAAGACUGAAACUCAAAGGAAUUGACGGGGGCCCGCACAAGCGGUGGAGCAUGUGGUUUAAUUCGAAGCAACGCGAAGAACCUUACCAGGUCUUGACAUCCUCUGACACUCCUAGAGAUAGGACGUUCCCCUUCGGGGGACAGAGUGACAGGUGGUGCAUGGUUGUCGUCAGCUCGUGUCGUGAGAUGUUGGGUUAAGUCCCGCAACGAGCGCAACCCUUGAUCUUAGUUGCCAGCAUUUAGUUGGGCACUCUAAGGUGACUGCCGGUGACAAACCGGAGGAAGGUGGGGAUGACGUCAAAUCAUCAUGCCCCUUAUGACCUGGGCUACACACGUGCUACAAUGGAUGGUACAAAGGGCAGCAAAACCGCGAGGUUAAGCCAAUCCCAUAAAACCAUUCUCAGUUCGGAUUGCAGGCUGCAACUCGCCUGCAUGAAGCCGGAAUCGCUAGUAAUCGCGGAUCAGCAUG
Molecule: ribosomal RNA, 770 nt
Filed under: Bacillus sp. STR6
Lineage: Bacteria; Bacillati; Bacillota; Bacilli; Caryophanales; Bacillaceae
Description: bacterial SSU rRNA
Rfam family: Bacterial small subunit ribosomal RNA
Source: RNAcentral